RNAcentral lists this non-coding RNA (49 nucleotides) under Trichobilharzia regenti. Lineage: Eukaryota; Metazoa; Platyhelminthes; Trematoda; Strigeidida; Schistosomatidae. The record is from RNAcentral.
AUCCAUCUGACGAGUCAGUUCCAAAUAGAACGAAAUGCACAUCCUGGAU